AGCCUUCUGUAUCCCUGCUGAGAUUUCAUCAUACACCAGAUCACAAGGGCUGAUGAGACUUCCAAGAUAAGUCAAGCG
This 78-nucleotide microRNA precursor is filed under the name Schistosoma margrebowiei. RNAcentral's name for it is "mir-3492 microRNA precursor family". It matches the Rfam family "mir-3492 microRNA precursor family". Lineage: Eukaryota; Metazoa; Platyhelminthes; Trematoda; Strigeidida; Schistosomatidae. The record is from Rfam by way of RNAcentral.